This 408-nucleotide long non-coding RNA is filed under the name Homo sapiens (human). RNAcentral describes it as "non-protein coding LINC01931:6". The record is from RNAcentral. Lineage: Eukaryota; Metazoa; Chordata; Mammalia; Primates; Hominidae.
AAACUACAGGAUGGAUACUUAUAAAAGAUAAGGGAAGUAUAGUGCAUAGGUUGCUGAGAGGUGGAGAGAAAGUUGCUUACUUUUCCUGAGCCUCAACUUUCUGAAAACAUAGAAACACAAUUAGAUGAUGAGUUAUGAGGUGAAGGAGGGGAUGACUCAGCAGCAAUGUGCCAGCUCCAUAGUGACUUCUCCACCAAGCUGGAGAAGGAUUUGCAGCAAUGGUUCCAGAACCAACUGUGUGUAUCUACAGGAUGAAGAUCAUUUAGACUAUGAUCAUUUAGACUGUAUCACUUUUGGCCAAGAGCUGGGGACACAGUGGUGAAUAAGACACAGGCCUAUCCUCAUGAAGCUUAUAUUAAUGGGGGACAAAGGAUAAUAAUCACAUAAGCAAACAAAUAAAUACAUGAG